This 1486-nucleotide ribosomal RNA is filed under the name uncultured Bordetella sp. RNAcentral describes it as "partial 16S-23S ribosomal RNA intergenic spacer". It matches the Rfam family "Bacterial small subunit ribosomal RNA". The record is from RNAcentral. Lineage: Bacteria; Pseudomonadati; Pseudomonadota; Betaproteobacteria; Burkholderiales; Alcaligenaceae.
AGGUAGUAACAGAGAGUUCGAUUCUGGCUCAGAUUGAACGCUGGCGGGAUACUUUACACAUGCAAAGUCGGGCAGCAGCACGGACUUCGGUCUGGUGGCGAGUGGCGAACGGGUGAGUAAUGUAUCGGAACGUGCCUAGUAGCGGGGGAUAACUACGCGAAAGCGUAGCUAAUACGCGCCCUUCGGGGGAAAGCGGGGGACCUUCGGGCCUCGCACUAUUAAACGGCCGAUAUCGGAUUAGCUAGUUGGUGGGGUAACGGCUCACCAAGGCGACGAUCCAUGUAGCUGGUUUGAGAGGACGACCAGCCACACUGGGACUGAGACACGGCCCAGACUCCUACGGGAGGCAGCAGUGGGAAUUUUGGACAAUGGAAACCCUGAUCCAGCCAUCCCGCGUGUGCGAUGAAGGCCUUCGGGUUGUAAAGCACUUUUGGCAGAAAGAAACGGCACGGGAUAAUACCCCGUGCAACUGACGGUACCUGCAGAAUAAGCACCGGCUAACUACGUGCCAGCAGCCGCGGUAAUACGUAGGGUGCAAGCGUUAAUCGGAAUUACUGGGCGUAAAGCGUGCGCAGGCGGUUCGGAAAGAAAGAUGUGAAAUCCCAGAGCUUAACUUUGGAACUGCAUUUUUAACUACCGAGCUAGAGUGUGUCAGAGGGAGGUGGAAUUUCGUGUAGCAGUGAAAUGCGUAGAUAUGCGGAGGAACACCGAUGGCGAAGGCAGCCUCCUGGGAUAACACUGACGCUCAUGCACGAAAAAGCAUUGAGGCAAACGGGAUUAGAUACCCUGGUAGUCACCUAAACGAUGUCCAACUAGCUGUUGGGGCCUUCGGGCCUUGGUAGCGCAGCUAACGCGUGAAGUUGACCGCCUGGGAAAUUACGGUCGCAAGAUUAAAACUCAAAGGAAUUGACGGGGACCCGCACAAGCGGUGGAUGAUGUGGAUUAAUUCGAUGCAACGCGAAAAACCUUACCUACCCUUGACUGUCUGGAAUCCCGAAGAGAUUUGGGAGUGCUCGCAAGAGAACCGGAACACAGGUGCUGCAUGGCUGUCGUCAGCUCGUGUCGUGAGAUGUUGGGUUAAGUCCGCAACGAGCGCAACCCUUGUCAUUAGUUGCUACGAAAGGGCACUCUAAUGAGACUGCCGGUGACAAACCGGAGGAAGGUGGGGAUGACGUCAAGUCCUCAUGGCCCUUAUGGGUAGGGCUUCACACGUCAUACAAUGGUCGGGACAGAGGGUCGCCAACCCACGAGAGAACCAAUCCCAGAAACCCGAUCGUAGUCCGGAUCGCAGUCUGCAACUCGGCUGCGUGAAGUCGGAAUCGCUAAUAAUCGCGGAUCAGCAUGUCGCGGUGAAUACGUUCCCGGGUCUUGUACACACCGCCCGUCACACCAUGGGAGUGGGUUUUACCAGAAGUAGUUAGCCUAACCGUAAGGAGGCGAUUACCACGGUAGGAUUCAUGACUGGGGUGAAGUCGUAACAAGGUAA